AGAAAAGUUUAAUUCUAGCUUAGAAAUUGGGUUUAAUUUUAUUUUACAUGUAAAUUUUAGUGGGAUUUUUAUUUUUGACUUAGAAAGUUGAAAUAAGCAAAAUUAUUAUUCGCAGUGGAGUAAUUUAAAUAUCAGUGAAAGCUGGAUUUAGGAAUAAUUUUUAAUAUUGACAUAAUUUGUGCCAGCAGUUGCGGUUACACAGAUAAUAUAAUUCAAUUUUUUUGGUUACAGUUAAUUUGUUUUAUAAUUUUAAUUCUGAAUUUAUGGGGUGAAAUCUUAAUUUUGGGUAAAAAUUUAUUUUUGUUAAUGAGGCUGAGAUAUUCUUUUUAAAGACUAGGAUUAGAUACCCUAUUAUUUUGAAUGUAAAUUCUUAUUACCAGGUUAGUAUUAGUUAUGUUCUUGAAAAUUAAAGAUUUUGGCGGUAUUUUAGUCCAUUCAGAGGAACCUGUCCUGUAAUUGAUAGUCCACGAUUAGUCGUACUUUUUCUUUUAGUUUAUAUAUCGUCGUAGUUUGAACAUUUUAUUAGAAUAUAAAUGUUCAUGAUUUUUGGGGAAUGGAAAUCAGAUCAAGGUGUAGCUUAUGAAAAAGAAGAGAUGGGUUACAAUAAAUUUAUUUGGGAAUUAAUUUCUUUAAAGGGAUUAUGAACAUGGAUUUGAAAGUAAUUUUAAUUAUAUAAUUAAUUUGAUUUUGGCUCUAGAAUAUGCACAUAUCGCCCGUCGCUUUCACUCCAAGGUGAAAUAAGUCGUAACAAAGUAGGCCUACUGGAAAGUGGGCCUGGAAAGG
This 783-nucleotide non-coding RNA is filed under the name Megopis sinica. RNAcentral describes it as "12S ribosomal RNA". The stretch from base 380 to 777 matches the Rfam family "Microsporidia small subunit ribosomal RNA", at positions 752 to 1303 of the family's 1311-position model. The record is from RNAcentral. Lineage: Eukaryota; Metazoa; Arthropoda; Insecta; Coleoptera; Cerambycidae.